AGUGAUCAUGCACAGAGAACAGACAAGCAGACACUCAAGGUCACGAACUUGACUGGGACGUUACUGGAGUGGAAAGAGACCAUCUGUGGAUAUUCUGUCUUCAACGUGGAUAUUUUCCAAUGUGCAAUAUGACUUUGGAGGAAACCAGUGGAGAAAACUCUACAGAAAGGAUGGAUUCGGUGACUAAAGCACUGGAAGAGGUCCUCAGCUCUGCUUUACCUCAGGGUUGCAUCACUGUCGGAGUAUACGAGGCAGCCAAGUCACUCAAUGUUGACCCGGAUAAUGUGGUGUUGUGCCUCCUGGCUACGGACGAGGAGCAGGUAGAAGACGUUGCCCUCCAGAUCCACUUCACCCUGAUCCAGGCGUUCUGCUGCGAGAACGACAUCAACAUCCUGCGGGUCAGCAACAUGAGGCGCCUCGCUGAGAUCCUUGGAGGAGUGAAGCCUGGAGGAGAGCCUAUGGACCUGCACUGUGUACUAGUUACUAACCCCCAGUCGACCACGUGGAAGGACCCAGCUCUGAGCAAAGUGAAUCGCUUCUGUAGAGACAGUCGAAUCCUGGACCAGUGGGUCCCCAUCAUCAACCUACCUGACUGAUGACUCUACCCAUGUUGUGCACUUUAUAUGUUAACACCGCACACUGCACUAGAUCUGUGUAAUAACCCCUUUGUUGGACCUCUCGUGAACAGCCUUGAUUCAACAGAGGGAAAGAGAUGGCGGGGGAAGGAGGACAAGGAAAUCUCCAACAAAAGAACAAGACAAUCUCCAACUCCAACAAAACUUGCUGGAUCAGUGUGGAUAUUAUGCCGAGGUUUCGGCUGAGGAAGAGUGACUCAGCGUUCUGGGUUCCAAGACUGCCAAGGCAGCAGGGCAUUGGAAUCUCCUGGAGGAUCAUAUGACUGACUCCAAGGACUGGACCAGAGUCAAGGACCGGACUUCAUUUAACCGGACUGGAUUUUACUGAACUGGACCAGAGUAGUCUGGACUAGUCUGGGACUACAGGUUGGAUAAUGGCUCAAGGAAAGUGGACCAAAUUCCCAUGUUGAUAUACUCUGGGGGGAAAAUAAAUCACAACUGUAAUUUAUAUGAUGUUGAUAAUCUCUGAAUUGUUAUUUUGAGAAUUAUUUAAAUAAAAAAAGGGACGAUAUUGUCAGGACAAAGCAAUGUAUUGACUUAAACAUUAACUUGUUGUUUUGUUUUAAUUAAUAUGUUUGCAUUAAUUUAAUGAAUUGUAUUUAUGUUGCAAUGUUCAUCAACAGCUACCUUUGUAGAGAAAUAAACUGAACUGAACUAAACAUUUAA
This is an RNA transcript of Coregonus clupeaformis (lake whitefish), 1301 nucleotides long. It is a transcript of the gene named growth arrest and DNA-damage-inducible, alpha, b, with no coding region annotated. The record is from RefSeq and is a predicted model, not a curated record. The transcript has 5 exons. Lineage: Eukaryota; Metazoa; Chordata; Actinopteri; Salmoniformes; Salmonidae.